Molecule: ribosomal RNA, 120 nt
Filed under: uncultured bacterium
Lineage: Bacteria
Description: partial 16S ribosomal RNA
Rfam family: Bacterial small subunit ribosomal RNA
Source: RNAcentral
CAUGCCGUAAACGUUGUCAACUUGAUGUGGGGGGAUUUAGUCCUCUCCGUAUCGAAGCUAACGCGAUAAGUUGACCGCCUGGGGACUACGGCCGCAAGGCUAAAACUCAAAGGAAUUGAC